GCCUGUUCAGCUGGGAUCUGAUUAGUGAGAUCUAUUUGGUGGGGUCCAUCAGUUGGGGCCUAGUCAGUGAGGGCCGUGAGGGCCUUGUCAGCUGCAGCCUUGUCAUUGUGACCUUUGUCAGUGGUGUCUGGUGAUCCAGGGCCUGGUCUGUGGGGCCCAGUCAGCAGGACCUGGUCAGUCCACAUCUGAUCAGUGGGACCUGGUCAUUGUGGGGGUGGUCAGCUAGGACCUGUUCAGUGGGAGCUUAACCGUUGAAGGCCUGGUCAGUGGGCCCUGGUCAGUGGGAUCCUGGGUGAUCUCAGGCCACAGGUUUGUCCUUGAAGCCUCCUUGAUUGCCUCCGUCCGUGGGGUGGGGGGUGAGUCACAGCACCCCAGUGGGCUUCUGGGAGGAGGAGGUGAGAAGGUGCCUUGAAUCCAGCCCUGCCACAGAGACCUGGCACUUUAUACACUACCCAAGUCACCCCAACGGGGGAGCCUGGCCUCUGCCCUCUGCCCUCUGCCGUCUGCCCUAUGCCCCUGCCCCAUCUGCAUCCCCAGGACCACCCAGCAUGGAAAGGGCAGAGGCUGGGGAGCACCUAUGGGUGCUCUGAUGCUGGCCACAGGCCCGGGGGUGACAGUGACAGGGAUCCAGGUGCACACGUGAGUGGAGCAGCCAGGCCCAGCUGGAGGAGAGAUGUGUUCACCCACACACAUGCAUCCUCACAUACACAGACAAACUGCACGCAUACAUGUUGACCAUUCAGGGGGCGGAGGAUGCUGACCCUGGGCCCUGCUGAGCCAGGUAGGGCCCCGUCGUGAUAGGAGCUGUGAACCCAUGCUGUCGCUGUGCCAAGUGCCGCCAGCCUGCCUCCGUGUCAUGAAGCAGUUGGAGACACAGUGGUGCUGUAAGUGGUUGUGCAGAUAGGACCCUUUUCUGGGUGAGAAGCACAUCUCAGCACCGCUGCCUGAUCAGGCUCAAGAAAGCGUGACCUGCUCUCUUCCCCCCUGCUGACUUGGGGACAGUCACAACCAGCUCAGAAUUGUGGAAUCCACCAUCCGUCCACCUGAGACAUCUCCACGAGCGCAGACGCUGCUUUGGCCCAAACAAAGCACCCUCCCGUUUGGCUGAGCCGUGGUAGCAUGGGGCUUACCCGGCCAGCAGCAUCUCAGAGCCCCCAGGAGUGGUUCAGGUGUUCUCUGAAGUGGUCAGGAGCAGCGUAGCCUUUGGGCGAUGUUGUCUCACAGGACGGACGUGGAGGAAUUCGCAGCUACUCUACUUGCACAGGAGCAGGGGGCAUCAUUGCCCAGUGUGAGCAGUGAGACGCAGCUGCCACCCAUCAGUGCCCUGGAAGUAAAGAGAAGACGUCAGGGGAUGAGAGACACAGAAAAAUGGCUCCGGGUGCUUCUCGACUGGCGGUGAUAUAGGAGCUCAAGGAGCUGUCUGCUGGGCUCUACAAGGGAAUCCCUCUGCAGAUGUGGGGCCAGGUGUGGUCACACUUGCUGAAUGCUGAGAAAGUGAAGGCUGAGAACUUGGGAAAAUACCAGGUACCACACUUCUACACUCAGCCAGAGCCGGACAAACAGGCCAGGCCGUGUUGGGAGCCCAGGCCUCUAGAUGGAAGAUCAGAUGCACAUCUUGGGCACAGAAGCGUGGACUGUGGAUGACGGCCAUGUGGGGCAACGAGUCUUCUGUUUGGAGGCUGCUUCGUCCUCUUGGCCUACAGGUCAUGAAGAAGAAGGGCAAGAGGUCCCCUGGGAACUUCCACCAGAUAUGGGGAUUGGAAGGUCCCUGGGAAGAUGGGGUGAUCCAGAGGGAUGGGGGCUUCCCCAGAGCAGAGGCAGGGGUCACCCUGGAGGAGUGACAGAGUGGCCAAGGGCUCUCCUGGCCCAGGGGGCAUGCAGCCCCAUGGACUCAGUGCCUCUUGGGCUCCAAGCCCUGCGCCUGGCUGGGACACGUGGGGCCAGAAUCCAGACAGCUCCCAAGGAGAUGAACAGCAGCAAACAAAAUCAUGCGGUAUGGUGGAAAGUACUCCCUGUGACUCUGGGGACCAGGGUAGGGACCCACAAGAGGGCGGCAGGAUGAGGGGGCUCAGGAGCCUUCCCAAGCAACACUGGCAACACCAAAUGCCGGGAGGAUGUGGGGCCCUGGGGACCCUCACCCCUGCCGGGUGGGACAGGGCACAGCCACUUUGGAAGCCUGUUGGGCAGCUGCCCAUGAGGCUCCGUGGACUCACGCCACACAUCCCAGAAGAGUCUCAGAGACUGACCCCAGUGAUUUGAAAACUGACGUCCACGUAAAACCUGCGUGCCACGUUCACAGCUUGAUUCAUCCUCGCUCACAGCCGGAGGCCACCAAGAGAACCUGCGACAUGGGAAUAGGGGAGGAAGGGGGCAUCCACCCUUCGAACAAAAGACCACUCGGUGAGAAAAGGGAGCGAACCCCUGACCCCCGUAGGAAUGUGAGUGAAUCUUAGAUGCAUUUCACUGAGGGAAAGAAGCCAUGCCUAACAGUCGACCACUGUAGGAUUCCAACUCGUGGGCCAUUCUGGAAAAGGCCAAACCAAAGGGAUGGAUAACAGAUCAGGAUGGCCAGGGGCUGAUGGAGUGGGAGAGAUCAGCUGCAGAGGGGACACCUUGGGGACUUGGAGGACGAAGGAGCUGCUCUGGGAGGUGCUAGAGUCGUGGGUGGGAGACUCCGCGCACUGGUUCAGAAACGUGGAACUGCGUAUCCCAAAGACUGAGCUUUCACCUUGUGCCAAAAAGGGGAGAAAAAUAAUCAACCAGAGUGAUUGCACACCUGAGAUAUUUGCAUUUCACUGAAAGUGGAUUUUACCCAGAAAUUUCCCAAAAUAAUCAGAUGCCCUGAAAAGGUCACUGCUUAAUCGACGGAUCAUCUCAACCUUGAGUUGGAUUUGUCAUAGGGGCUUGUAGACAAAAUGAAACAGCAUCUGCCUGAAGCAAAACGAUCUUUUCUCUCUUUCCUAAGCAGCGGGAUUUCUUUCAGGUCCUGGUGGCAUAUUCUGCAUCUAACCCCAGCAAGUAAUGACGCCUUCCUCCCAGACUUGCCCCAAAGCCUCCCGGAGCUUGGUGGUGUCCCAGGACGGUCCUCCCAGGAAACAUUUUGAACAAGUUGCUGAAGUGCCUGAUGGACGUGGCUCUUGUCACGAAAUGAGUUUGGAUCCGAGAAGCCCUCCUCUUCAUCAGAAAUGGGCAGGGGUCCAAUUUCCCCUCCACCUGAACCCUGUCAGAGCCUUUCCAGCUGACGGCUCCACAUGUUGGGAGGGGAUCUCAUUUCGAGAUGGGUCAGGGGCUUCUCAGGAUUCUUUAGCCCAAAUUGUGCCAGCCCACGAGGAGCACCUGUUAUGAACGUCAUUCCCAAAGAUCCUGCGGCACUUGGUGAAUGGACAGUCCCCUCGGCUCCUUCCCAGAGGCCUGGGUCCCAUGGGCCAGGGGUAAAGGGGCGGCUCGAGCCCCUGGUGGGGCUGGCCAGAGGCUGAGUCCCAGCCAGGGCCAUGUAGUUCUCCAUAGCUUCAGAGCUGAGUUUCCUUUUCCUGCCCUGGAGCAGGCAGAGGCACUCAACCCAGGCCGAGCUUGGGCUGAGCAGGGCAAAGGGAAGUGUGUCCCGGGGGUCCAUGCAGGGGGCAGGUGUCAGGGGUGCCCCAGCCACCACCUGGUGUUCUGUCCCUCAGGGAAGGGUCUGCAGAGGGGCCUGGAAUG
This is an RNA transcript of Symphalangus syndactylus (siamang), 3696 nucleotides long. RefSeq lists it as uncharacterized. The record is from RefSeq and is a predicted model, not a curated record. Lineage: Eukaryota; Metazoa; Chordata; Mammalia; Primates; Hylobatidae.